This 517-nucleotide ribosomal RNA is filed under the name Triticum aestivum (bread wheat). RNAcentral describes it as "partial small subunit ribosomal RNA". The record is from RNAcentral. Lineage: Eukaryota; Viridiplantae; Streptophyta; Magnoliopsida; Poales; Poaceae.
CUACUAAUAAAGCACGGAGUGCUUCUGCCCGUACGUCGUCGGCACUUUUGCAAAAAAGCCCCUCUAUUUCUUAGUAUUCAACCCGCGGUCCUUGUGCUAAAACAACCCGAAGCGUUACGUGAGAUAAAAAAAAUAAAAAGGGGAUCCUGCCUCCUCCGAUCAGAUCUCCACCUCCAUCGCGCCUCGCCCCGCCUCAAGGCGCGCCGCCGUCCGCCACCGUGUGCCGCUGGUCGCCGCCGCCCACCUGGCCGGUGCGCCCUACCCCAUGUUCCCCAACACCCGCGGCCUUCCACCGCUGGCGACGCUCGACGCGGCGGCCACGGCGGCGCAGGCUUGCAAGGGGCGGCGGCCAUGGCGGGGAGGCGCCACUGCGCUCGGGCACCGCAUCAGGCGGCGGUAGCGAGGCGGGAGGCGCGAAUGGAAUGAAGAAGAAGAAAGUGGAGAGGCGGGGGCGGAGGCCGUGGCGGAGAGGCCGCGCUGCGCUCGGGGGCCGCAUCAGGCGGCGGCAGCGAGGCGG